Molecule: long non-coding RNA, 155 nt
Organism: Cebus imitator (Panamanian white-faced capuchin)
Lineage: Eukaryota; Metazoa; Chordata; Mammalia; Primates; Cebidae
Exons: 3
Source: RefSeq, a predicted model, not a curated record
ACAUUUAUGCAGCCAACAAACAUAUGAAAAAAAAAUCUCAUUAUAACUGAUCGUUAGAGAAAAGCAUAUUAAAACCCCAAUGAGAUAUCAUCUCCCACCAGUCAGAAUGGCUGUUAUUAAAAAGUCAAAAAAUAACAGAUGCUGGUGAGGGUGUG